This is a long non-coding RNA of Homo sapiens (human), 3831 nucleotides long. Ensembl annotates it as long intergenic non-protein coding RNA 2609. The record is from Ensembl. Lineage: Eukaryota; Metazoa; Chordata; Mammalia; Primates; Hominidae.
GCCGGACGGUAGAGGCCUCCCUUCCGAGGAGGCGGUGCUGGGGCGGGCGCAGGACUGCAGGCUGGGGCUCCGCUCCCCGGCGGGAGCCCGCGCGUGGUUCCCAGCGAAGUCCCCGCGCGGCUGGGCCCAGCGUGAGUAUUCUCCGCCCGCUGUCCUCCCCCUGGAGGCGGCAGCGCCCGUUUAUUUGAGGCUUCUAAUGUGAGGAAAAACACGGAAUGACAAGUGUGGGAAAGAGCAAGCACUAAAUUACUGUCAGAAAAAUAAACGGAGUAGCACAGUGCUGCUCGGUGAUUUACGGGGGCAAUUAGUCACCACCCCACGGCGCUGCUGAGGACAGCACGGCAGCAGACAAGUCAGGCCCAUGAGGAAGAAGAGGCUUUGCACUGCUCUCCAGACAACUUUUCAAACAACAAGAGAGGAUAUUUGAGCACAUUAGGUUUUGUGUCUUCAUUCUGGGUACCUACUCUUCAUAUUAUUCUACCAACUUAAUACAUAAACAUAUUUUUAGCACAAUAUGAACCUGUUCUAUGUGUGUUUAAAAGCCUCCAGCAGCAACUUUUUUCUCUCCCACUGUCCAAAGUUGGGUUUUCCCCAUCCCUUAAAAAACAAAACAAAAAAACCUUUCUUCACUCCAAAUUGUCCCCCUGGUGUGUGGUUUUGGUCUUUCUCAUUACUUCUUGCAUCUUGCUACAUGUUCUGCAUUUGCUCAGAGCCACUGGGUGCUAAGGAAUUUGGUCUGCUGCUCCUCUGGGAAAGUUUGGUAAGCUGGUACAAGGAGGUGAUGAACAAGGCUAAAUGAAAAUCAUACAUAAACUUCCCAAUAUUUGUGAACAUGUUCUUUAACAUACCAUACAUAGUUUCUAUGUAUAUGUAACAUAGCAAAACAAACUUGCUAAGGUAUAAUUAAUUGGUAUGCAUGCCUUCAUAAAUAUUCACCAUCAGAAGAAACCUAGAAUGAAAGGUUGUGAAAGAACCCAGGAAUGAGAAAGACUUUAUUGACUAAAGGCCAUGUCUAUGUAGGGGCAACAAUGAAGCUGUGGGUGAGCAAAUGAAGCUUCAUCAGGAGUUUAGUAUCCUUAUGUAGCAUUACCUAAGAAUGCUACCAUAGUAAAUUUCUGAAGUACUUUACCUGUUACAAAGAACGUUUGUAAUCUCCUUUUCUUAUUUGAUCUUGCCCUGGCUUUAGUCAGGAACACCUGCUCAGUUAGAAAUGUAUUCGGUGGGUAUGUACGCAGUUGGAGAAUGUGCCCCAACACACGCCGCCUUUGGCCUGUAUGUUGGAGUCCUAGAGAGGCAGACAAUGUUGAUGAGCUUGGUACCAGCAUGGUGCGCCAUUCAUCCGGACACAAUUUCUGAUAAAGAGGGUCACAACUGGGAGAAACCUCAGAUUCUACUUGCUUCUCUUCUCCACGUUAUUAGACUUUUUUUCCCCUCUUGAAUUUUAUAAGCACACUCCUUUUAAAACAAUUAAUUAAUAACGAGCACUGGGAUUUGAUGUAGAAUUGCGUAUUUGUAACUGCAAUGGCACUGGUUUUCAACUACCCUGUAACAAGGAAGCAAUUCUAACCAGCAAAAGAGGCAGACGUGUUUCUGUGCAACAUCACAGGCGUGUGAAAUUGUUCAGAUAUUGAGAUAUCAGGAGUGAUAUAAAUUGGAAAUUUAACCAAAAAUAUUUUCCAUCAGUGAACAAAGCCGAUUUUAAAGUGCCUCUUGCAUUUUUCAGAUCUUUCUCUUUCUUUUUCCCAAAGUCACAUUGUAGUUUCUGAUAAAGGAACACACUGGGAAAACUAAGCACAUAUUUAAUCAAUGAAAUUUAAGGUGUAAAAAUUCUGCAUUUCUGACAAAUUUAAUGUUCACUUUUUUCUUGAUUUAAAUAGAGCAUUCUAAAAAUAUUACCCCUAUAGGGGAUAAAUUUUUAUAUGCAUGUUAUUUUUCUUUACAAAGUGUGGGCUAGUAAAGAGUGAAAAAGACCUUGGCUAUUGUACUUAUUUCUUGAAAGAAAUAAUAGCAUCUUAAUGACUGGAUUCAAAUCUCUGCUUAUCACACAACUUCCGUACAGUUCAAAGAGAGGACUUGGAUUGAAUGAAAACAGAGAGCUGGGGCUUCCUACAUUCCCCUGUGUUUGUGUUCAUACAGAAUAUUUAUGCAAUAUUCUGACUUGGCCAUAAUCUGUAAUUCCUGCCUAUUAUUCUCAGUUGCAACUAUAAAUUCUAGAUUAAUGGUUAUAAUUUUGGUAAGGCAUACAUGAAAAGUUAUAUGUUCCUGCUUGAAAGGAGGAUCAUUAAAUAUUCAUUAUUACCACUCAAAUUAGUUGUCAUGCUCUGUGUAAUAGUUACCCGUUAUCAUUUCACUAGUUUGGAUUCAGCAGUAAGUGAACAGCAAUAUAUAGCUCAUAGCGCCAGAGGACUUUUUUUGUCGGGGAACAGGGAGAGAAAUGAUUUUAAAACCCAUUUGACAUAUUUAUGUUGACAAAUUAUUUAAAGGAAUUACUGUGUUGUAAUAAACAUGUUUGUAUGUUGGAAUAGGAUUGUGGCUAAAUUUGCUUCUAGCUGUUUAAUUACUCUUAUUAUGAUUGUGAAAAACAGUGCUUCUUCAAGUAGUUCCAAGGAAAAAAAUAGAAAAUGGAAAAGUUGAGCUAUUUCAGUCUUUUGCAGGUAUCUAACCUUGCCAUGAAAAAGCACUUUUCAUUUUUGUAAGUAGAUAUUGAAAUCUUGCUUUUUCAGCGAAGCUAGAUUGUAUAAUUUAUUAGUUUUCUCCACCUGGUAACACAUCCUUAAGAAAAAAAUUGCCAAAAGUAAAGCAUGAGAUGGAUUUUAAAAUAAAUGUUGUGGAUGAACACAUAUAGAGAUCGUGCUUUGCCAAUCCAUUUUGGGAAGAUAUGAGUAAAAAUAAAUCCAGAGAUAUUUUAAUGUAAAAACAUUUUGCUUUUGUCUUCCACAUACGUUGGUAUGCCAGUUCAGUUAUGUGAAGAUAUUAGGGCAGCCACAUUUUUUUUGGAUCACAGGUAUGAAUCAUUCCAUACUCCUCAGUAAUUUUAAAUUGGUUCUUUUCCCAUGGAAAAUAACCAUAAAUUUGAUUCUGAUCUCAUCUUUAGAGCUUUCUGUUUUAAAGAGUCAAAUUGCAGCUGAUGAACACAUUUUGCAUUUUUUCACAUUGCAUCUGGACUCUUCAUAACGAUGGUUUAUUUUAUCUUUUCUGCACAGAGGAGAGGAAAAAUAUAUAGGUCCAUGAAUCAAUCUAGAUAAUGGGGAAGGCUGACUGUAAUAAAUAAUACAGUAACAACCCUAAACUAAUGAGCUGUUGCUAAGGUACAUUUCAUAGGCUCAUCCUGUAUAUAAAAAGUCACUAAUAACCCCUUGGUGUAAUCAGAUGAUAAAGCUUUGCCAUAAGGCAACACCUGUGCAAUUAGAACUGCAGAUUCUUUUGCACGUUUCAUUAAUUUCAGGAUUUUGUAAAGGCACAAUGACUACACUAAUAAUCUAGUCUACUUGACUCCAUGUCUACUGGAAACAAAGUGUCUAAUUAGAUAAAGGUAAUUAAUUAGAGAUAAAUGGAGCUAAUCAGGCUCAGUUAACACUAAUUCUCUGAAUUAAGACAUUUUGGGACACCUACUAUCCCGCUGACUUUGAUAUUUUGCAUUAAGAAUAGGUUUAGAGGAGUCAGAAAAUACUAGCAUUUGAGAAUUGAGCAGUCUUUUGAUGACAUAUUUAGGUAUCUGAAGCUAAAGAAGAGUUUUUUUUUUUUCAUAUUGUACUAUUUCACCACCUUUCGAUAGCAGCUUAAAGAAUUCACUUUGUAGUUAUUCCAAUCUAUGCUAGUCUCCGUAUAAAU